This 310-nucleotide ribosomal RNA is filed under the name Escherichia coli. Its description in RNAcentral is "bacterial LSU rRNA". It matches the Rfam family "Bacterial large subunit ribosomal RNA", at positions 380 to 695 of the family's 2925-position model. The record is from RNAcentral. Lineage: Bacteria; Pseudomonadati; Pseudomonadota; Gammaproteobacteria; Enterobacterales; Enterobacteriaceae.
CAAAAAUGCACAUACUGUGAGCUCGAUGAGUAGGGCGGGACACGUGGUAUCCUGUCUGAAUAUGGGGGGACCAUCCUCCAAGGCUAAAUACUCCUGACUGACCGAUAGUGAACCAGUACCGUGAGGGAAAGGCGAAAAGAACCCCGGCGAGGGGAGUGAAAAAGAACCUGAAACCGUGUACGUACAAGCAGUGGGAGCACGCUUCGGCGUGUGACUGCGUACCUUUUGUAUAAUGGGUCAGCGACUUAUAUUCUGUAGCAAGGUUAACCGAAUAGGGGAGCCGAAGGGAAACCGAGUCUUAACUGGGCGU